GACGAACCGAGCGAACGUUGUUCGGAAUCACUGGGCUUAAAGGGCGCGUAGGCGGGCUGCCGCGUCCGGGGUGAAAUCCCCCGGCUCAACCGGGGAAUUGCGCGUGAUACUGGCGCACUUGAGGCGGGUAGGGGUGAGCGGAACUCCAGGUGGAGCGGUGAAAUGCGUAGAUAUCUGGAGGAACACCGGCGGCGAAAGCGGCUCACUGGACCUCGAUCUGACACUGAGGUGCGAAAGCUAGGGUAGCAAACGGG
This 254-nucleotide ribosomal RNA is filed under the name uncultured bacterium. Its description in RNAcentral is "partial 16S ribosomal RNA". It matches the Rfam family "Bacterial small subunit ribosomal RNA", at positions 524 to 776 of the family's 1533-position model. The record is from RNAcentral.